UCCGCACUGGUGUAACGGCUAGCAUACCGAGCUUUCAUUCACAAAAGAAGGUGAGCUCCUCGGAGACCGGGGUUCGACUCCCCGGUGCGGAA
Molecule: non-coding RNA, 92 nt
Organism: Terfezia boudieri ATCC MYA-4762
Lineage: Eukaryota; Fungi; Ascomycota; Pezizomycetes; Pezizales; Pezizaceae
Source: the annotation of a GenBank genome assembly